GGGUUGUGAGGUUAAGCGACUAAGCGUACACGGUGGAUGCCCUGGCAGUCAGAGGCGAUGAAGGGCGUGCUAAUCUGCGAUAAGCGCCGGUAAGGUGAUAUGAACCGUUAUAACCGGCGAUACCCGAAUGGGGAAACCCAGUGUGAUUCGUCACACUAUCAUUAACUGAAUCCAUAGGUUAAUGAGGCGAACCGGGGGAACUGAAACAUCUAAGUACCCCGAGGAAAAGAAAUCAACCGAGAUUCCCCCAGUAGCGGCGAGCGAACGGGGAGGAGCCCAGAGCCUGAAUCAGCAUGUGUGUUAGUGGAAGCGUCUGGAAAGGCGCGCGAUACAGGGUGACAGCCCCGUACACAAAAGCGCAUGUGCUGUGAGCUCGAUGAGUAGGGCGGGACACGUGGUAUCCUGUCUGAAUAUGGGGGGACCAUCCUCCAAGGCUAAAUACUCCUGACUGACCGAUAGUGAACCAGUACCGUGAGGGAAAGGCGAAAAGAACCCCGGCGAGGGGAGUGAAAAAGAACCUGAAACCGUGUACGUACAAGCAGUGGGAGCACAGGUUUACCUGUGUGACUGCGUACCUUUUGUAUAAUGGGUCAGCGACUUAUAUUCUGUAGCAAGGUUAACCGAAUAGGGGAGCCGGAGGGAAACCGAGUCUUAAUUGGGCGUUAAGUUGCAGGGUAUAGACCCGAAACCCGGUGAUCUAGCCAUGGGCAGGUUGAAGGUUGGGUAACACUAACUGGAGGACCGAACCGACUAAUGUUGAAAAAUUAGCGGAUGACCUGUGGCUGGGGGUGAAAGGCCAAUCAAACCGGGAGAUAGCUGGUUCUCCCCGAAAGCUAUUUAGGUAGCGCCUCGUGAAUUCAUCUCCGGGGGUAGAGCACUGUUUCGGCUAGGGGGCCAUCCCGGCUUACCAACCCGAUGCAAACUGCGAAUACCGGAGAAUGUUAUCACGGGAGACACACGGCGGGUGCUAACGUCCGUCGUGAAGAGGGAAACAACCCAGACCGCCAGCUAAGGUCCCAAAGUCAUGGUUAAGUGGGAAACGAUGUGGGAAGGCCCAGACAGCCAGGAUGUUGGCUUAGAAGCAGCCAUCAUUUAAAGAAAGCGUAAUAGCUCACUGGUCGAGUCGGCCUGCGCGGAAGAUGUAACGGGGCUAAACCAUGCACCGAAGCUGCGGCAGCGACGCUUAUGCGUUGUUGGGUAGGGGAGCGUUCUGUAAGCCUGUGAAGGUGUGUCGUGAGGC
RNAcentral lists this ribosomal RNA (1240 nucleotides) under Salmonella enterica subsp. enterica serovar Dublin. RNAcentral describes it as "partial 23S ribosomal RNA". It matches the Rfam family "Bacterial large subunit ribosomal RNA", at positions 1 to 1269 of the family's 2925-position model. The record is from RNAcentral. Lineage: Bacteria; Pseudomonadati; Pseudomonadota; Gammaproteobacteria; Enterobacterales; Enterobacteriaceae.